Molecule: ribosomal RNA, 301 nt
Filed under: uncultured bacterium
Lineage: Bacteria
Description: partial 16S ribosomal RNA
Rfam family: Bacterial small subunit ribosomal RNA
Source: RNAcentral
CAGCAGCCGCGGUAAUACGUAGGGUGCGAGCGUUAAUCGGAAUUACUGGGCGUAAAGCGUGCGCAGGCGGUUCGUUAAGACAGAUGUGAAAUCCCCGGGCUUAACCUGGGAACUGCAUUUGUGACUGGCGAGCUAGAGUAUGGCAGAGGGGGGUGGAAUUCCACGUGUAGCAGUGAAAUGCGUAGAGAUGUGGAGGAACACCGAUGGCGAAGGCAGCCCCCUGGGCCAAUACUGACGCUCAUGCACGAAAGCGUGGGGAGCAAACAGGAUUAGAUACCCCUGUAGUCCCUGUCUCUUAUAC